GGGCUCACACAAGCGGUGGAGCAUGUUGCUUAAUUCGAAGCAACGCGAAGAACCUUACCUGGGUUUGACAUGUACGGAUUAACCGGUGGAAACAUCGGCCACACUCGCAAGAGUGGAACGUGCACAGGUGCUGCAUGGCUGUCGUCAGCUCGUGCUGUGAAGUGUCGGGUUAAGUCCCUUAACGAGCGCAACCCUUGUCGCUAGUUGCUAACAGGUAAUGCUGAGGACUCUAGCGAGACUGCCGGUGUCAAACCGGAGGAAGGCGGGGAUGACGUCAAGUCCUCAUGGCCCUUACAUCCAGGGUUGCAAACGUGCUACAAUGGUGCAUACAGAGCGACGCAAGACCGCGAGGUGGAGCAAAUCGCAAAAAAUGCACCCCAGUUCGGAUUGCAGGCUGCAACUCGCCUGCAUGAAGCCGGAAUCGCUAGUAAUCGGAGAUCAGCUACGCUCCGGUGAAUAAGUUCCUGAGCCUU
RNAcentral lists this ribosomal RNA (473 nucleotides) under uncultured bacterium. Its description in RNAcentral is "bacterial SSU rRNA". It matches the Rfam family "Bacterial small subunit ribosomal RNA", at positions 917 to 1382 of the family's 1533-position model. The record is from RNAcentral.